UGAGUGAGUAGCAAAAUUACUCUGAUCAAGUUUGUUACAAAAAUGUUCAAGUCAAACAUGUUUGCAUCACAUGAACCUACUCAAUCGUAGUGUGUAUGAGUGUUCUGCUACCAAAUGCCAGAAGGCACAUAAUUGUUUAUAAAUCGUGGUACAUCCGACCAGGAGUGGUAAUUGCAAGGAAAAAAAUUAAAAUAUGAACAGACACCUUCCUUGAUACAGAAUUCUCGCAUAACUCCAUACAGCUCACUGUUUGACGAACUAAAUGCGAAAAAAAAAACAGAUUGAAGAAGGGAUGCAAGCAAGUGAGUGCCAUCCAUCAUUUUAGCAGCAAAUCUCUGAGCUGAAAAGGUACGGAAAUGGUGGAAUUUCAUCUUUUUCAGCCAACCCUUCCUUCCUAGUAACAUAAUUCUCCCAUCGGAACCCAGAGGGGCCAAUUUAAAGGCAUAGGUGCUAGGAGGGUCCCUAACUUUUGACCUUGCAGCAUAAAAAGUUGCUUUGUAAGAGAUCAGUCCAAGAAAAGGGGUUAGGAUUGAAUUUUGUAUACAUAUAACUAAAAGCUAAUAAUGUUCAGUUCAAUACUUGCAGGCUGCAGCAGCUUCAGAGUACAAUAUAAAAGGUUCAAUACUUGAGAAAUUUUUAAGAGUAAGAGAAAUCCACUACAUCUGACAUUAUUCUACAUUCCCCUCCAAAGCCAUUUUGCAUACUGUACCAAAUGGCUUAUGCUAAUCAUUAAAUCUGAGGCCUCCGUAGUGUAUUAAUGGCCAUACCAAAACUUGCAUCAUCAUAUUCAUUGUCAUUAGUCUUUUAAUUCCUUCAGCUUUAAAUGUCAAAAAUGGGUUGGCCAAGGUCGGCGGCCAGCCGUGUAGGUCUUUUGCCCUUUCUUUCUUACUUAAUAAAAGGAACAAGUUUUCUCAUCUAAAUAUGCAGAUAAUCUUUUAUAGAACAAAAGUGUUAACCUAUGCAGUCAAAGCAUUUACUUGCAUGAGAGAAAUAUCACUAUGCCUUUUUGACAACUAUUUACACAGAUAAGCAAUAAGAGAGAGAGAGAGAGAGAGCUUCCCUAUCAUGACUUGAAUUCAAUCUACUAACAGUCGGAGUCUAAUGCUAGUUGUUUUCUACAUGAUCAGCGUCAAACAACCUUGUUACGUUAAGAGUAUAAGUCAAUAUGUCAUGUAACAGUAACACAGUUUUAACACUAUUACUUAAGUUAGAUGUGUUAUGUUUAUCAAACUUAAGUAAGAAUAUGAACAACUACUUAACAUUAGCCUUGCGAGAUGAACUUGUAAAGAGGAAAGUGGGAGAGAUCAGCUCAACAUAUUUGUUACCAUGUUACCUUGGUUUAUAAAAGAUGCGUUUUACAAGAUUUUGCCAAUUGGAGCUCUAAAUGAUAAACCAGAGCUUGCCGACACUUGACUUCAAUAAGUUAGAAAUUAAACCCUUUAAAUACCAGAGACACAGAACAAAAGAAAGAAAAAGGGGCUACGUGGUGCCGGCGUGCAUUCCAUUGCGGCCAAUGUAUCUGUUUUGGAUGACAAAUGUCCUCCCAUUCACUUCUAUGAACAAAAUAAGACUUGCACUUUAAGGGAAAUAAUAUUAGUAUAAGAGGUCCACCUUGGCAAAAGUAGCAGCCCCUCUUAACACUGUUAAAAGAAAGGGAAGGCGGGACAUGUGAUCAUAAUCACUAUAUUAUGUUUAUUUCUGAAGGGUGUACUUUUUCAAAUUUGCAUUUAGGUGUUUUCCUUUCAGGUGAAUUCUUUACAAUCUAUAUUUGGUUUGGUUUGGUUUGGUGAGAGGAAUGUGCUAAACUAAGUGUUGCAAUUAGAGCUGAGAUGGGGAACAGUAACACCUCUGGGUUUCAAGGUAUGUAAUUAUGGCAGGGGAUUCCUUUAUUUUUUCCUAUUUUUCAUACUUGUUUCCUCUCUGGUUGGCUCAUGAAUGGUGGCUGAAGAUGCAGCAGAAGAAAAUUCUAACACAAAGAUUGAAGGAACUCAACCAAAAUCUGUGCAAGAACAUGAUGAGCAAGAAGGUACAAGAGGACACUUUGUUGAUCAAAGUGAAGGAAGUGAUGAAAAUGGAGGAAGAAUGUUAGGUUCUGAGGAUCCAAAGGAAGAGGAGGGAGCAAAAGCCCGGAAUCGAGAUGGAAAAGGUUCGGUUUGCUAAUAUACCUAAUGACAACAACUUUAUUUUGGUAUAAAGUUGUGUUGAUUAGUUUAUCCUGGCAAUCAAUAUUUUUUCAGUUGUUUCAGAGCAAGAGAAUGAUAGGCUGGAGAGCCAAGUUCAUGAUCUUAUGUCUGUCGAAUCUGAGGAACCAAAGCCCGAAUAUGAAGAAGAAAGAAGUAAAGACAGUAAUCCUCAACUAAAUAUUGUGAGGCAACAAACAGAAGAAAACAAGUCUGAUUCUAUGGAACAACCAGAAUCUAGUAAGCCAGGUUAACCAACUAAACUUCACAAUCCAUGAACAAUCAUUUCUUCUUAAACGAAUCAAUACGAUCAUUAGUUUUGAGCAGGAAGAAUGAAGCUUACCUAUUUAUCUGCAGCAGAGGAGGUGGAGGAGACGUUGAGCUCAGGUUCAACUGUUAGAUCCCAUGCACAUGAUGAGCAAGAACAUCAAGGUUCUGAUGAAGUAGAAUCAAACCUGACUGAAAACCAAGGUAACUCAACUUCCACCAAUAUGGAGAGGUUGGAGAGCCAAGUUCACGAUCCUUUGCUAGCCGAAUCUAAGAAGCCAAACCUGGACUACAAUGGAGAUAGCAGCAAAUGUGGCAAUUCUCAACCGAAUUUAUUGAGGGAAGAGAUGGAAGAACGCAUAUCUGAUGUAGAUGAGCAGCAGGAACUGCAUAAGCCAGGUUAGCCUACUUAACUUCAUAAUCCAUGUCAUGAAGAACCAAUAAAUCUAUCUGACGAAAAAACUUCUACACUCUCUCCUUUCUAUCUGCAUCAGUGGAGGCAGAGAUGAGCAUAGGAUCACCUGUUAUGCCCCCUUCACACGAUGGGCUACAAAAUCAUGGCGCCGAUGAAGCAGAAUUGAAACAGAACGAGAAUGAAGGCAACUCAACGUCCACCAUUAUGUCCCCUUCAAUCAAUGAAGAAGUUCCGAAUUCUGAAGAACUGGAAUUGAACCUGAAUAAAGAUGAAGGCAGCAUAACAAAAUCACCAUUUGCUCAUACUACUGAUUCUGAGAAUAAUCAGCAUUUUGAUGUUCAUACAUCUUAUGCUCAUGAUGAAUCUGUCAUAGCUGAGAAUCUCAUGGAUGGGUUUUCGGUGAAUGAACUGAUCAUAUCUUUACCCAGUAAGAUAUCCAUCAAAGUUGUAUCUCAAGCUGCAGUUGAAAAUGGAACUGAUCAUCAUGAGCCAGAGAGUGAGCAGAUGAACUAUGGCGGUUCCUUGCAGUCACAAGUAGAAGCCAAUCUGAUGGCUAAACACGACCGUCCAAAUGGUGAUGAUGAAGAAAGAUCUAGUAACCAAGCAGGUCACAAGAUUCAUGGAGAAGAAAUCAGCCACCUAGAGGCUUCAAAACCUGAAGCAAACCUGAUUUUGGCCUCACUACCACCACCACCUGAAGCCAAAGAAUCUAAUGAAGGGGAAAACAAUCAAGAUCAGCAAUCAGAAAAUGGGUCACAACUUCAUUGCUCGUGUGUGCCUGUAUCAAAGAUGGAAAAGAAGAAUUGUUGCAAGAGUCGUCACCUGACCAAGAGAAAGUGUCUGCAACGGAGUCUGAAGAUUCUCCACAAGACAUCAGUAGCAACUCCAACUGGGAAUUCAACACAGGAAACAGCUCCGAUUUCUUUGUCGAUAUGACUCCAACUUUCAUCGCCGAUAAGUUGACUGGUGAGGAAGAGCCUGUUCCAUUUCCAAUCCAGCUUCCGGCAGCAGUUACGGUGAGAAAGGAAGAGACCGACCAGCAAUUGGGAAGACUGAGCACCGACUCAGCUCCCGAAAACUUGACCGCCGAUUCCCAUAUGCAGAAAUCCCCGAGCUUCAAUUUUGAUCUUCAUCUUCGGCGACGCAGCACCGAAGAGUACUCCGAUCAAACUCCUCUCCUCCAGAAAUACCAAGACAAGAACACGAUCACAUCUAUAUCUAAAGAAACUAAGGCUUUUGAAAUGCCCAGUCACGAAGAGGCGAUGUCAGUGGAAGAGAAAGCCAGUCAACCCCUAGAGAAGAGUGAUUCAGAGAAGCCGUUGAUCCUAGGGUGGAUGAAGGAAGACAAUAAUAAUGAAGUCCAUCGCCAAAAGAAAGCAUCGGAAGAGGAAAUGACGAAAUGGGUUCCGUCUGAAGAGAAAGAAAAGCAGUACAGCCGGCGCCGAUCGACAAUCUUCAGCAACUGUCUGUGCUGCACGGCAACAAACGCCAUCAGUUAAUGAAUGACUGGACUCCCCCACUCUCGAUUUGCCAGCCACCAUUUGGGUUUCUUCCUUAUAUUAUUUAUAUGAUUAUUUGAUUCGAUUGGAUUGGGUUUUCUUCUGCAAGUUUGUGGAGUUCUGGUCGUCAAUGGUUCCGGUUCCGGUUCCGCCAUUGCCAACGUUUCCAUUGUUUCUGAGUGGUCAUUCACUAUGAAGGUUUGAAUAUGUAAUUUCACCGUUUGCUCAGUAAAGAUGAAAAAUAAGAGAAAUACUAUUCUUCGUCUUAAGUUUCGUUAAAAAACGGCUUACAAUUUAAAUUCCACGUGUAUAAUUACGGAUGCUCUUCGGUAUGUGUGUUAGAAACCCAAAUAUAUAAAAAAUCUAAACCAAUUCGAAUGAACUCAUCCUCACAUUCACCUCCACACCUCUUUCGGCGCCACCUCUGCCGGCAUUCGCCACCUCCACCGCUGUCGGCCACUUAUUGUAGCCAUUGUGUCCUUCUUACUGCCGCCGCCUCCUUGCUUCAACCGCUUCGACCUUGUUGUCGCCGACGUCUCUUCCUCCUCCGCUUUAGAGUCCCGGCCGAACGCCGCCCGCCAAAGACAAACGCCCUAUUUGGGCGUCCCCUCCUUGUUGCGUAAACGCCUUAUUUGGGCGGUCCCUCUCUAUCGUACAAACUCCCAAAAUGGGCGUUCCCUUUUUUCAUAUGUUUAAUUUGUGUUAUAUUUUUAUGCUUAAUUUUACUCUGCUUCUGUUCGGAGCGGACAACCCACACGGAAUAAUUUUAUUUAUAAUAUAACUUACAUACAACAAUAAAGAUCACUUCGGAUGAUGUCCACCGCGUGACAUGAACAGCUUAAAUUAGUCCUUAUACAACGGUCUUCAUAAAGUAAUAUGUAACCUUCCCCAUGUUAUAUGGAAAUGUGGCAUUGGUUUAAUUCUAUUGUUCUCGUUUAAUUAUAUUUGCACCUAAUAAUUCUCGAUACAAACUAAUUUUAGUGUAACAACCAGAUGCACUAUAUUCAGAUCAUGUAAAAUAGGCAAAUAGAUAACACUAAAUAUAUUCAUAUUAAUCAAAUCCUUAACAUAUAUUGGGCGCCAUAUGUAGCACCCAAAUGAAAAUAUAUAAUUCAUAAUUAGUAUAUAAAUAUUACGUUAAAAAAAAUUAGGACGCCUUAAUAGGGCUCUCAGGCACUACUUUAGGCCCGUAACACAUAAUGAGCGCGUUAAUAGGGCGAUGGACGGCGGUAAUGAUGGUGUGGUGGGGUGUAUUCGCGGUGGUGGUGAGGUGUCUUGCCGGCGGCAAAAACUAACUCGACCAAAAGUUUUUGAAGAAAUCGAAAAUAAAAUCGAUGAAAUUAUUUUAAUGAACCAAUUGUCAAAGACAUUUGUAUAAUGGUACAUACCAAAUUUGUAUUGUGAAGCAUUUUUUAAUGGAAACUAGGACGAAGAAUAAUAAUUCAGAAAAAUAAGCUCAUAAUAAAAAACUAGUUGUAAUAUUAAAUAAUGAAAAUGCUAUUUACCCAAAAGAUAAAGCUCUCAGGGCAUCCCGAUAGACUCAUCAGAGGUUGUUUCAGUGUUUUGGCCUGUCGUCUCGACUUUCAAUCUAACGGACUAGGGUUUUCAGGGCAGGAGUAGAAUUAAUGGUGUAAUAGUUUUUUUUUUUGAGAUUUAAAAUUCGAAUUGAAAGAGCUUCCCUCUCUUUCUUUGACAAUAUUGUGGUAAUUGAGGCGGAAAAAAGCAAUAACGCUCGUUCACCUGUCUCACUUUCUUCACUUAUCACCGAUUAAUUCUCUCACCUCUUAACGUCGUUGACAGUUAUAUAUCGUUUUUCCAGCUGUUUUGUCUUCCUUUAAUUGUGUUUUCACCACAAAUAUUUUUCUCUUUGUUAGACUUUUUUAUGUUGUAUUCUUUCUCCCGUUAUGUAACUGUUAUAUGUGUACUCUACUUAAAUAGGUGCGACCGGAGAGGAUUGCAACAAUUCAACCGGAAAAAAAUUGAAUAGGAAAUUAAAAGGUAUUGGUAAUGGUAUGCUAUGUCAUGGCCAUAUUAUGUUACAUUAUGACCGCGUUAUCUUACUAUCCUUACUAAUACAAACACGUUAUGUUACUGAUACGAUGGCGUUAUGACCAUCUUAGGUAUCGAAAUAGAAUGUUGAGAAACCACAUGUGAAGAGAAAGCCUAUCGAGCGGUCACAAAUAAAUCGAAAAAGUAUUCUUCUCAUGCAUAGAGCUAGUAUUAUGCCUAUGUGGAGCUCAUCACAUCAACGUCAGUGGCCGGCUUCAAUCGUCCCACCCAUGUGGACCCAUUUUGCCGGAAUUGUAGGCGGUUGGCAAACCCCGAUGCCGUCCAAUCGAGUGCUCACAGAUCUGGUUCGAACGCACCGCCCAGCUAUUCUUAUUCUUUUGGAAACCGAUUGAUAUUAAAUAUACCAUAAUAUUUGACACUUAAUUUGCUAAUCUUAAUGCCAUAAUAUCAAUCGCAAUCGGAAGUUUUGAUGAAAAUUGGUGAUAUUACCCUUAAUUUCGUAAAUUCAACCCUUGGACCUUCAUGGUUCAUUUUUAUGUUGUUUCUAGUGUUUUAAUGACAUUUCAAUUCACACAAUUAUAAAGAGAUGAAUUUCAAAUCCAAUGAUACAAACCGAAGGUAAAUCAGAUUCUGAACGAAGAUGUUACGGCUGUUUUACGAUCCACCGCUCAACCGAUUGCCGGAAGGACAACUGGGCAUGGGUGAGGACGUCAGCACAUGUAGAUAUGUACAUCAUCAAGGACAACUACAUCAUGCAUACAACUGAUGGAGUAGGUGCUGGAGGCUUUAAUACGCCAUUUUUUGAGCCUAUAUAACAACAACUCUUCUCCACUUCGAAAACACAUCAUACACACACCAUAUCAGACCUCCAAGCUUAGUUACUCUGUCCCAAGGCGUCCUCCUUCAGCCCGGGAACGUGCCACUUCAAACCGCACACAAUUCAGAGCCCUGGAGGUGAAUAAAUCCAUUCCGGAACUUCCGUUCGGCAUUGCUGAAUUUUACGACGACAGAGAGUUCUUGAAUCUCGGAGCUCCAGGUUCAUGUAUUAUCUCCAUUUCUGUGUUGUUAACAUGAUUAUCAUGUGUAACUAAGUUCCACCUCUGUUCGGAUUUGAUGAAACCUUGAUUAUGUGUUAAUUCGGCAUUAUUUCGAUUGGGUUUAUGCAAAACUAUAGUUAAUUUCGUUCUUAUCUUUCUCUUGCAUUUAGCUACUUCUAUAUCUUGUAAUUGCCGAAUUCUAGUUGUAAGAUUAUCGUUGAGAUUCGGUUUAGAUACAAAAGUGCGACUAAAUUGUUGGGAAUAUGCAGUUUUAAUCAAACCAACCCGAGUCCAAGCUAUUGAUCAAACCAACAGCCAAACUAAACAGAACGACACCGUCUCAUGGUUACCGUUAAUCUAAACAGAAUAUGACCGUUGGAGCAAGAGGGAGAGAUGAUGAUCGCCUUCUGAUUUCCCUCCUGAUUUUGCUCAACCAACGAUCUUCCGGAGGUCGUGGGGUGAACCACGGUGAUGGAAUGGAGACUGCUACUCCAUAUAAAACCAGAGUGCUCAUCACCCCAGUAGAGCAGUAGAUUAACACAGAAACCAUUGAUCAUUAGAGUUGAGAUAGUGAUUACCUUGAGAGCAUUUUUCCAGCACCUUUGAUUGUUGUGGUGUAAGGGAAAUAGCUUUAAGGGCAGUGGCUCCUCCACGAUCACUUGCUUUACACGUUACUUGACUCUCUUCUCUUCCUGCUAAAGUUGUUUGAUUCUGUCCCUAACAUAAAUACCCGAAUGCCAAGGGUUAGAAUCGUCGUCUCCGCUACACUCGAGAGAGGGGCGGAACAUCGAUCCGCUUUGGAAUUGAUUUUCUGAUUAAUCAUUAUUCUAUUUUUAAUGCACUUGGUAAUUAACUCUAAUUAGUCUCAAGAGAGCGGUUAGAUUAUUAUCGAGUAGGGAAUCUAUGAUACGAAAGUGCUUAAAUUCUAGUUUUGGAUUAAACGCGGUAAUUGCUUUUUCACGUAUAGUUAAGCAUAACACUUUCGGAAUAAUUUACUUAAUUAUCAUUGUUUCUUGGUGAAUUCAUUUCCGGACAGGUUGCUAGCAUCCAUUAAACUCGAUUCCAACUCUCGUGCUUCCAUACCCGCUAUUCCAACGACUCGACUUUUAUUCUCUCACUUUCCGGAGUAAUAUUCCGAACGGAACCUCGUGAAUACGAUCUCGAUUUUACCGAGUUUAUCUUUGAACUCGCCUUCGGGUGGGAUUAGAAACUCUGGACACUAUGCAGAAGAUGGAGACAGUACACGCAUCUAUAGGCUUCGAGGCUUGUUUUGUGGUGGAAGUUGUAGGGCAUAUUGGUCUAUCUACACUAAUCCCUCCUACAUGCACUACACUAAUACCCCACCCGAAUGAAGAAGACAUAGACAUUUAGCCAGGAUCAGACACAAAAGAACUCCAUUCCACCUGCUGCACAUAAAAAAAGUGUCAUACGCACAACAUGUAACCAAUUGUCGGAGCUAACCAUAAUAAAAACCUGUGAAAUGUCUCUAGACUCUUCCUGAAAAUUUCAAUAAUUUCUUUCACGCCAAAUGGACCACAAGACGAAUGGAUAAAUAGCCUUUUUAGACUGUUAAAGCGGGAUAGGCAGUUCAUCCAUUUCCAUGCCACGUUCAUGAAACUCAAUCAAACACUAUCAAUCUCGAUGACAAUUGAUCAAGAAAGUAGAGAUUUGAUAAAUUGUAAAUGAAGAAGUAAACUAGUGAAGAGGAAUCGAAUUUCUUCUUCUUCCUUUACUUCACGUUGCCGAAAUGAGAACAAAUAGGAUAUAAAAAUCCUAUCUUAAAUAUGGGCUAUAGCUUAUAACUACGGCCCAAUUAUUUAGUCAAUUAAUUUCAGCCCAAGACCAAUGUUCAGUUCUACGGAUUAAUUUACGAUAAUUACGAGAAUUAAGAACACAAUGUUUUAACGUGGUAUCGGAAACUCAGCCUACUCCAUGCCCGAUGAAUGAUUAUCCCAAGAGUUAUAUUAUUAUCACAAAUUAAAUAACGUACCUUCAUAAACUAACAAAGUGACAACAACCUUUGCACACACGCAAAGUGACAAUCCUCCGAAAUCGGAGUGACAACUUCUACCUGUGAUCUCUCGAGAACAAGAGUAACGAUACAGAUUGUCACUCACCAAAAAUCUUAUCGACUAACCAGAUCACUCCACUCACACUCUUUUCUCUCAAUCACAGUCUAUCGACUUUUCACUCAAAUACGAUAGUGACAAUGAAGCUUUAAAGAAUAGAGCACUUGCUUGUGAAUUGGUGAUUUGCUC
Molecule: long non-coding RNA, 9666 nt
Filed under: Linum usitatissimum (flax)
Lineage: Eukaryota; Viridiplantae; Streptophyta; Magnoliopsida; Malpighiales; Linaceae
Description: long non-coding RNA (LUSI_LNC005362)
Source: RNAcentral